RNAcentral lists this ribosomal RNA (468 nucleotides) under uncultured bacterium. RNAcentral's name for it is "partial 16S ribosomal RNA". It matches the Rfam family "Bacterial small subunit ribosomal RNA", at positions 28 to 507 of the family's 1533-position model. The record is from RNAcentral.
GACGAACGCUGGCGGCGUGCUUAACACAUGCAAGUCGAACGGAAAGUCCCUGCUUUUGUGGGGUGCUCGAGUUGCGAACGGGUGAGUAACACGUGAGUAACCUGCCCUUGACUUUGGGAUAACUUCAGGAAACUGGGGCUAAUACCGGAUAGGAGCUCCUGCUGCAUGGUGGGGGUUGGAAAGUUUCGGCGGUUGGGGAUGGACUCGCGGCUUAUCAGCUUGUUGGUGGGGUAGUGGCUUACCAAGGCUUUGACGGGUAGCCGGCCUGAGAGGGUGACCGGCCACAUUGGGACUGAGAUACGGCCCAGACUCCUACGGGAGGCAGAAGUGGGGAAUAUUGCACAAUGGGCGGAAGCCUGAUGCAGCAACGCCGCGUGCGGGAUGACGGCCUUCGGGUUGUAAACCGCUUUCGCCUGUGACGAAGCGUGAGUGACGGUAAUGGGUAAAGAAGCACCGGCUAACUACGUG